This is a long non-coding RNA of Polistes canadensis, 504 nucleotides long. RefSeq lists it as uncharacterized. Lineage: Eukaryota; Metazoa; Arthropoda; Insecta; Hymenoptera; Vespidae. The transcript is spliced from 2 exons. The record is from RefSeq and is a predicted model, not a curated record.
UACCUACUAUCGACUACUAGUGGUUCCGGUAAUAACUAAUAUGAAGCUAGGUAGAUAAAAAAGGGGACUUGUGAGUUUCUAGGCACUUCUGUAUUCUUUGACGUUACAUUCUAUACGCUUUUUAAAGAUAAUUAUUGUUUAUAAAAAUGGGUAAUGCUCUAAUGAAAGCAGAAACAAAACAAGAAGGAGAGAAAAAAUUGAAGCCUUGCUGUGCUUGUCCAGAAACAAAAAAGGCGAGAGAUGCAUGUAUUAUAGAAAGAGGAGAAGAAAGUUGCACAGAUCUUAUAGAGGCUCAUAAAAGUUGUAUGCGUUCAAUGGGAUUUAAUAUAUAAUACGUCAAAUAGUUAAUAACAUCUUGUAAUUACCAUCGUUAUAAUUAGAUUCCAUAAAAUAUUACAAAAAUGCUGUGAUUACAGAAUUUUCUCUCCGUAUUUUUAUUGGUAAAUAAGUUAGUAUUAUGUAGAAUUAUUGUCAAAUAAAAUCUAAUUGUAAACUUAUAAAAAA